UAAGUUGCAGGGUAUAGACCCGAAACCCGGUGAUCUAGCCAUGGGCAGGUUGAAGGUUGGGUAACACUAACUGGAGGACCGAACCGACUAAUGUUGAAAAAUUAGCGGAUGACUUGUGGCUGGGGGUGAAAGGCCAAUCAAACCGGGAGAUAGCUGGUUCUCCCCGAAAGCUAUUUAGGUAGCGCCUCGUGAACUCAUCUUCGGGGGUAGAGCACUGUUUCGGCUAGGGGGUCAUCCCGACUUACCAACCCGAUGCAAACUGCGAAUACCGAAGAAUGUUAUCACGGGAGACACACGGCGGGUGCUAACGUCCGUCGUGAAGAGGGAAACAACCCAGACCGCCAGCUAAGGUCCCAAAGUCACAGUUAAGUGGGAAACGAUGUGGGAAGGCACAGACAGCCAGGAUGUUGGCUUAGAAGCAGCCAUCAUUUAAAGAAAGCGUAAUAGCUCACUGGUCGAGUCGGCCUGCGCGGAAGAUGUAACGGGGCUAAACUGUGCACCGAAGCUGCGGCAGCGACACUAUGUGUUGUUGGGUAGGGGAGCGUUCUGUAAGCCGUUGAAGGUGUGUCGUGAGGCAUGCUGGAGGUAUCAGAAGUGCGAAUGCUGACAUAAGUAACGAUAAUGCGGGUGAAAAACCCGCACGCCGGAAGACCAAGGGUUCCUGUCCAACGUUAAUCGGGGCAGGGUGAGUCGACCCCUAAGGCGAGGCCGAAAGGCGUAGUCGAUGGGAAACAGGUUAAUAUUCCUGUACUUGGUGUUACUGCGAAGGGGGGACGGAGAAGGCUAUGUUAGCCGGGCGACGGUUGUCCCGGUUUAAGCAUGUAGGCGGAGGUUCCAGGUAAAUCCGGUACCUUUUUAACGCUGAGGUGUGAUGACGAGGCACUACGGUGCUGAAGUAACAAAUGCCCUGCUUCCAGGAAAAGCCUCUAAGCAUCAGGUAACACGAAAUCGUACCCCAAACCGACACAGGUGGUCAGGUAGAGAAUACCAAGGCGCUUGAGAGAACUCGGGUGAAGGAACUAGGCAAAAUGGUGCCGUAACUUCGGGAGAAGGCACGCUGAUAUGUAGGUGAAGUGGUUUACCCAUGGAGCUGAAAUCAGUCGAAGAUACCAGCUGGCUGCAACUGUUUAUUAAAAACACAGCACUGUGCAAACACGAAAGUGGACGUAUACGGUGUGACGCCUGCCCGGUGCCGGAAGGUUAAUUGAUGGGGUUAUCCGUAAGGAGAAGCUCUUGAUCGAAGCCCCGGUAAACGGCGGCCGUAACUAUAACGGUCCUAAGGUAGCGAAAUUCCUUGUCGGGUAAGUUCCGACCUGCACGAAUGGCGUAAUGAUGGCCAGGCUGUCUCCACCCGAGACUCAGUGAAAUUGAACUCGCUGUGAAGAUGCAGUGUACCCGCGGCAAGACGGAAAGACCCCGUGAACCUUUACUAUAGCUUGACACUGAACACUGGUCCUUGAUGUGUAGGAUAGGUGGGAGGCUUUGAAGUGUGGACGCCAGUCUGCAUGGAGCCAACCUUGAAAUACCACCCUUUAAUGGCUGGUGUUCUAACGUGGACCCGUGAUCCGGGUUGCGGACAGUGUCUGGUGGGUAGUUUGACUGGGGCGGUCUCCUCCUAAAGAGUAACGGAGGAGCACGAAGGUUAGCUAAUCCUGGUCGGACAUCAGGAGGUUAGUGCAAAGGCAUAAGCUAGCUUGACUGCGAGAGUGACGGCUCGAGCAGGUGCGAAAGCAGGUCUUAGUGAUCCGGUGGUUCUGAAUGGAAGGGCCAUCGCUCAACGGAUAAAAGGUACUCCGGGGAUAACAGGCUGAUACCGCCCAAGAGUUCAUAUCGACGGCGGUGUUUGGCACCUCGAUGUCGGCUCAUCACAUCCUGGGGCUGAAGUAGGUCCCAAGGGUAUGGCUGUUCGCCAUUUAAAGUGGUACGCGAGCUGGGUUUAGAACGUCGUGAGACAGUUCGGUCCCUAUCUGCCGUGGGCGCUGGAGAAUUGAGGGGGGCUGCUCCUAGUACGAGAGGACCGGAGUGGACGCAUCACUGGUGUUCGGGUUGUCAUGCCAAUGGCAUUGCCCGGUAGCUAAAUGCGGAAGAGAUAAGUGCUGAAAGCAUCUAAGCACGAAACUUGCCCCGAGAUGAGUUCUCCCUGAGACUAUAAGUCUCCUGAAGGAACGUUGAAGACGACGACGUUGAUAGGUCGGGUGUGUAAGUGUAGCGAUACAUUGAGCUAACCGAUACUAAUGAACCGUGAGGCUUAACCUU
Molecule: ribosomal RNA, 2256 nt
Filed under: Citrobacter sp. Cy234
Lineage: Bacteria; Pseudomonadati; Pseudomonadota; Gammaproteobacteria; Enterobacterales; Enterobacteriaceae
Description: partial 23S ribosomal RNA
Rfam family: Bacterial large subunit ribosomal RNA
Source: RNAcentral